RNAcentral lists this long non-coding RNA (2869 nucleotides) under Apis mellifera (honey bee). Its description in RNAcentral is "uncharacterized LOC102656297, transcript variant X2". The record is from RNAcentral. Lineage: Eukaryota; Metazoa; Arthropoda; Insecta; Hymenoptera; Apidae.
UAUAAUAACGUAUUUGAAAUACGUAUAAUUUAUUGAUAAGUCAGAUAGUUAAGUCAGAUUGUGUAUUCUUUGGGAAAGUACAAAUUCUCAAAAGCGGAGAAACGGUUCCCUUCAAAUCGAUUGAGAAUUAAUCCGACUGCUAUCACGUUUCGCAAACGUCACUCCAUUGUCUCAUUGUCCAUUGGAGUGAGAGAUAGCGAUGGAGCGGUAGAGAACGAGAGAUGACUUUCCUUCGUUCCUAUCUUGCCUCCUUUUGAGAUCCCGUCUCGAUCCUAUUGGAGGCCAGGGGGAUUCUCUGUUCUUCUAUAGCCAACUAAUGCUACUGGACGAGAGAAUUGAAACUAUGACCUGUAUCCGACUCAUUUCACCGAUUGCUUUUAUCACUUUUUCUAUAUUUAUUAAACUUUUCUGUAUCAUUCAAAGUUUCGAUCGAAAGAAUGCAUAUAAAAUGUGUAGUAAAAUGAGAAAAAAAAGACGCAACAAAAAAAUGUCUUCUACGAGUAAGUCCCUGUAUUUUUUUAUAUUAUAUAAAUGAUUAUCUCAUAGUUUCUUUGUAUUCUAUAUAACAAAAAAUUAAAUAUAAACUUUGUCUUUGUAGAUCUCGAUUAUGAAAUGGCUUCUUGAUUGAAUUCUCGUUUGCCUGCCUCUCGUUCCUCGGUUCGAUCGGCUGUUAUCAGUAAAACAUUAAACGGACAAAGAACAGAACAUGGCUACAGACUAUAUAGAUCAGAUAGAUCGUUCCCGAUGAUCAGGGUACAUGGAGAUUCCUCGGAUAUAUCCGCGUCGCUGAAAAAGGGCGUCAUGCAUGGCUCGCACUAGGGUGUCAUCUGCACCCUCCACAACAUGACCAGUUCUGUAGACGAUCUUCACGGUCAAUAUAACGGAUGUCGUAAAAUCAAUUAGUGGCGAAUUGUGCCGCAGCCCGGAUCGUGUGCACUGUACAUGCAGCUCAUAAAAUUCUCCCCCCUUUUUUUUUUUGUGAUCUUUUUGAAUUACUCUGUGCAUCGGUUCCAGUCGAUGAUCAUUUCUUAUCAAAGUAUAUAUACAGUUUUUAAAACUUAUCUAUGAUAUUAUACAUGUUAAAUUUAAUACUUUGUUAAAUUUCUCAUUUGCAAUAGAAAUAUGAUAUUAUUUCUGUGAGUCGCUUUUAUAUCAUUCCGACAAUAGCUUAGUUAAUAUUGACUUUUGAAUGGUCCAAUCUUUAGAAAGAGAGCCUUUCCUUUUAGCGUGUUUCAGCAUGCAGUAAAUAUUAUCAGGAAUACCAUCCCCGCAUAGAGAGUCCAACGACAUUCUGACAAAUCUUUGGGGUCGACGUCGUAACCGAUUGAAAGAAUUUUCCGUGACGACUCGUUCAUUGUGCGUGUUUACUAGCUAAGCGAUUUUCUCGUUGUAGAAAGGUGGUCGAAAUAUCUUUCAGAGAUACAAUGGAAAAAACUUGUAACAUUGAAAAUCAUGGAAUCAAAAGAUUUUUAGGGAGGGAAAUUUAUUUGUGUUAUUCACAGAGAUUGCAGUAGCAGCAACGAUUUAGAUCUCGGUAAAUUGUACAAGUUUUUAUCAUCCGAGAGACGUAUAUCUAUGAAAAAGAGAAAUAGUCCACGUAAAACUUUAACGUCCUUUGUGCGAACGUCACCCGUUACAACGCAACGUUGCUUUGGCUAAGAGCCGGUAAAAGUCGAAAUGAAGGAAGUUCUCCUCUGAAUUCUAUUUCCUUCGUCAAGCGGUUUGCAGCCUUGCCUAUCUGUUUUCUCUUCGCUUCUCACCCCUCUAUCUUUUCUCUUCCUCACAGCCUUCCUUACUACCCAGAUAAUUUAACCAUUUCCAGCAAUAAAUCAAGUAAUUUUCAUUUAUAAUUACAAGCACGGUGAUUUUAUGUAACCUUUGCAAAUUAUUUCUUCUAAAUUGUUUCAUCAACGUACAAUCAACUUAUUAACUUCUUAAUAAUUGUAAUCACAGUUUAAGACACUUUCUGCUUAUUCAUAUUUUGCACGUAGGUUAUCUUGAUACUACUCCACUAAUCUGUGACGAUUAACCCAAAAUACUCAUGGGAGGAGUAAUAGGAAUAGGAACCGAAGGGAAGACGCGCAUAUGAAAUUCAUCCUUCAAAGUUGGAGGAGUGAAAGAAAAGGUUCUCCUUGUGGCUACAACUCACAACUUACAAUUCGGUGGCUACACCCUUUCAUGAACGCGCGGUUCAACCACUCGUGACCCGACCAACUUCGCCCCAAGUGGGAAGGGAACAAUCACUGUAUGAAAGUCGAGUCAAUGCUAUAACAACGAGACGAUCCGCAAAUAAAGAGGAUCUGCAGGAAAUCUGCAAACACGAGCGAAGCAAACGGGCCGCUCCAUUAAUAUUCCCUCGUACGAUCCGAAUAAGGAACGCGCGGUGGACCGAGAGACUCCCCGACCGAAGCUAUAAAAAUUAAUUAGCUCUUAGAAGAAGAGACUGGCUUCUAUAUACCCAUGACUCGUUCACCAAAACUGUGAGACCAUCCUCCUCUAGGAGGAAACGACCUUACUUCGUUAUUCGAAGGAAUAUCCAACGGUUCCUGUCAUGGAUCCUCGAUGAAUGAUCGAUACGAUAUCCCUCGAACGGGCUUCGAUCCGGACCCUUUUCGUUGUUGCAACGUAUAAUUAGUCAUUGAUUCCUCGUGGUUCGUGGAACGAUUCGAUCUUGGAAACAUUUUGUCAAGAUUAUUUUUUACUCGUUUUACAUCGUGUCUAACAGAUGAUUCAUCGUGGUUUCGAAUUUUGAAAGGAGUGAUGAAACGAGUGUUUUUUUUUUAUCAAGAAAAUUUAAAUACACAUGAAACACGUCUAAAUAAGACGUUUAAUUUUAAUAUCGAUUUCCUUGAGAAGAUUUUUUUCCACU